CAUAAGCAGGCACCAGCACCCGCUGCACUGCACCUUCAGAGGCCACAUAAUCGUCCACCAGCUAAGAACAUAUGGGAAAAAAAAACCCUAUUAGCCAGCCAGGCUUGUGGGAACCUGGUCAACCAUCAUUCACUGGUCCAGCGGGUGCCCUCACCUUGAUCCUGCCCUGGCUACAUCUGACAGUCGCUGCCCUGACAUCGGCUUGCCUGCCUGUGCCCUCACUCAAGGACACACAAGACUGCUGAUUUAUUUUAAAACCAAGUUUGCAUUUUUGUUCAAGAGGAAUGAACAAAGACUGACCAUCACUGAAGAAUAUAUAUGCCUUUUGCAAAAUGCUAUCAACUUUUAGAACUGGAAUGUUAAGAAAAUGAUCUUCAAUCCUAUGAUGACUUGCCAACACAAAAUGACAAUGUCAAACUUAAGCGUGCAUAAAAUCUGUGUUUGGGGUUCAUCAGUAUCAGUCUAAUUUUAAUAAUGUGAAAGGAGCCUAGAAAAUGUACUUUUCAAUACUUUUGUUAUUUUUUUCAUAAAUAUUUAGAUAAAGAGUGAAAACUCAUCUUUGGACAGACAGUUCAGGGUAAGGCUGUCCAUAAUCUUAACUAUCCAUUUCCUCCCAAGUCACAUGCAUUUUUGUUAGAACUAAAUAUAUCAUACUCUUGGCAGCUCCCUUGCUUGUUUCAACCCAUUCUGAGCUUGAAUUUUCUGCAUGACUGAGUUCACCUCCAAACUAGGAAAAAUAAAAGUUUUCUAUCUAAUA
This is a long non-coding RNA of Bubalus bubalis (water buffalo), 757 nucleotides long. RefSeq lists it as uncharacterized. The record is from RefSeq and is a predicted model, not a curated record. Lineage: Eukaryota; Metazoa; Chordata; Mammalia; Artiodactyla; Bovidae. The transcript is spliced from 3 exons.